RNAcentral lists this ribosomal RNA (465 nucleotides) under uncultured bacterium. Its description in RNAcentral is "partial 16S ribosomal RNA". It matches the Rfam family "Bacterial small subunit ribosomal RNA", at positions 28 to 507 of the family's 1533-position model. The record is from RNAcentral.
GACGAACGCUGGCGGCGUGCUUAACACAUGCAAGUCCAACGGAAAGGCCCCUUUGGGGGUACUCGAGUGGCGAACGGGUGAGUAACACGUGAGUAACCUGCCCUUGACUUCGGGAUAACUUCAGGAAACUGGGGCUAAUACCGGAUAGGAAUCCUUGCUGCAUGGUGGGGGUUGGAAAGCUUCGGCGGUUUUGGAUGGACUCGCGGCUUAUCAGCUUGUUGGUGGGGUAGUGGCUUACCAAGGCUUUGACGGGUAGCCGGCCUGAGAGGGCGACCGGCCACAUUGGGACUGAGAUACGGCCCAGACUCCUACGGGAGGCAGCAGUGGGGAAUAUUGCACAAUGGGCGGAAGCCUGAUGCAGCAACGCCGCGUGCGGGAUGACGGCCUUCGGGUUGUAAACCGCUUUCAGCAGGGGCGAAGCUUGUGGUGACGGUACCUGCAGAAGAAGCACCGGCUAACUACGUG